Molecule: long non-coding RNA, 171 nt
Organism: Telopea speciosissima
Lineage: Eukaryota; Viridiplantae; Streptophyta; Magnoliopsida; Proteales; Proteaceae
Exons: 3
Source: RefSeq, a predicted model, not a curated record
GAAAAAUAGGAAGAUCGAAUUAUCGAAAGAAAAUGAGAGCGAAAUCGAAGUUGUGGCUCGAAAACUACGAGACUUACCUUGAAAAUCGCUACGAGAAUGAUCUCAGCGUCAAUCUUCUUAAUCAGAUCAUUUAUAUGCACGGAUUUACGAAACUACACCAUUAUCCCAAGG